GAUUGAACGCUGGCGGCAGGCCUAACACAUGCAAGUCGAGCGGAUGAAGGGAGCUUGCUCCUGGAUUCAGCGGCGGACGGGUGAGUAAUGCCUAGGAAUCUGCCUGGUAGUGGGGGAUAACGUCCGGAAACGGGCGCUAAUACCGCAUACGUCCUGAGGGAGAAAGUGGGGGAUCUUCGGACCUCACGCUAUCAGAUGAGCCUAGGUCGGAUUAGCUAGUUGGUGGGGUAAAGGCCUACCAAGGCGACGAUCCGUAACUGGUCUGAGAGGAUGAUCAGUCACACUGGAACUGAGACACGGUCCAGACUCCUACGGGAGGCAGCAGUGGGGAAUAUUGGACGAUGGGCGAAAGCCUGAUCCAGCCAUGCCGCGUGUGUGAAGAAGGUCUUCGGAUUGUAAAGCACUUUAAGUUGGGAGGAAGGGCAGUAAGUUAAUACCUUGCUGUUUUGACGUUACCAACAGAAUAAGCACCGGCUAACUUCGUG
RNAcentral lists this ribosomal RNA (485 nucleotides) under uncultured bacterium. Its description in RNAcentral is "partial 16S ribosomal RNA". It matches the Rfam family "Bacterial small subunit ribosomal RNA", at positions 27 to 507 of the family's 1533-position model. The record is from RNAcentral.